This 250-nucleotide ribosomal RNA is filed under the name uncultured bacterium. RNAcentral's name for it is "partial 16S ribosomal RNA". It matches the Rfam family "Bacterial small subunit ribosomal RNA", at positions 524 to 773 of the family's 1533-position model. The record is from RNAcentral.
GACGUAGGAUGCAAGCGUUGUUCGGAUUUAUUGGGCGUAAAGCGUACGUAGGCGGCUAUCUAAGUCUGGUGUUAAAGCUAGGGGCUCAACCCCUGUGUUGCACUGGAAACUGGGUGGCUUGAGAACGGUAGGGGAAGGUGGAAUUCCGAGUGUAGCGGUGAAAUGCGUAGAUAUUCGGAAGAACACCGGUGGCGAAGGCGACCUUCUGGGCCGUUUCUGACGCUGAGGUACGAAAGCGUGGGGAGCAAAC